GACAGAGGGUGCAAACGUUGUUCGGAAUUACUGGGCGUAAAGCGCGUGUAGGCGGCUAUGUAAGUUGGGCGUGAAAUCCCACGGCUCAACCGUGGAAGUGCACCCGAAACUGCGUAGCUAGAGUCCUGGAGAGGAAGGUGGAAUGCUUGGUGUAGAGGUGAAAUUCGUAGAUAUCAAGCGGAACACCGGUGGCGAAGGCGGCCUUCUGGACAGUGACUGACGCUGAGACGCGAAAGCGUGGGGAGCAAACAGG
Molecule: ribosomal RNA, 253 nt
Filed under: uncultured bacterium
Lineage: Bacteria
Description: partial 16S ribosomal RNA
Rfam family: Bacterial small subunit ribosomal RNA
Source: RNAcentral